CCUUGCCCUUUGGAAGAACUACACAUUACACUAGUUUCCUUUGAAUCUGCAUCAUGUGUCCAUAUGUUACAUAUGUAGAUAGGUAUGAAUAAAAAAGAAGAUGUGGUAUGAUUGCCAAUGAGACAACUCUCCACAAGAGACCAAAAUGACACAGAAAUUAACAAUGUAAAACAAUACCUUUAAUGUAAUUUGUUCGACUGACUUCUCCAGUUCCUCUAUCAUAUCGGUUUUCCUUGAAGGUCUUCUGUAGUAGGAACCUAUGUAAAAUUGGGUAGCUGCCUUGAACAGUCAGUAAGUGUUGCCCAGACUAUCUCACAAUCAGUUUUUAUAUUAAUCUCUGUUUUUAUGAGUUCACUUUUAGCAGCUAUGAACGCUCCACUCUCGCUCUGAAUAACAUCUAUUCUCUGCUUAUAUUCGCCACCAGUAGCUUCGGAUGCAAGAUUUGCAAUUUGCUGUAACAGUUAUUUUGUCUCCCUUUGUUUUGUGCUUUGAUUUUUAUAGUUCGUUCUUAUGUUGUACUGUUAUGCCACUGGUAUACCACGUUAGGGGGGGGAUUCCGCUUACAUGUUUAACCCCGCCACAUUAUUUAUGUAUGUGCCUGUCCCAAGUCAGGAGCCUGUAAUUCAGUGGUUGUAGUGUGUUACAUAUUUGUUUUCG
RNAcentral lists this long non-coding RNA (657 nucleotides) under Mytilus galloprovincialis (Mediterranean mussel). The record is from RNAcentral. Lineage: Eukaryota; Metazoa; Mollusca; Bivalvia; Mytilida; Mytilidae.